Molecule: ribosomal RNA, 594 nt
Filed under: Triticum aestivum (bread wheat)
Lineage: Eukaryota; Viridiplantae; Streptophyta; Magnoliopsida; Poales; Poaceae
Description: partial small subunit ribosomal RNA
Source: RNAcentral
AUGAAGAAGCUGACGCAGGGGCGCAAGAAGAUCCCGGUGGAGUGCAUCGAGGACGCGAACCGGCUGCAGGUCUGCUUCUCCAAGCGCCGCAAGGGCCUCGUCAAGAAGGCCUUCGAGCUCUCCGUGCUCUGCGGCGCGCAGGUGGCGCUCAUCGUCUUCUCCCCCGCCGGCAAGCCCUACACCUACGGCCAUACCUCCGUCGACGCCGUUCUCGACCGCUUCCUCCUCUCGUACUCCGGCGACGUGGAGGCCGAGGCGGUGGCGGCGAGCCAGCAGACGGAUCUGAGCGAGCUCCUCCGCCAGGAGGAGGAGCUGAUCAAGGCCCGCGACGCGGAGGCGCGCAGGGGCAAGGAGCUUCAGGCGGAGGUGCGCGCCGCCGGCGUCUGGAUCGACGGCGACAUGCGUCACUGGGAGCUGCCGGAGCUCGAGGCCGCGCUCAACGCGCUCGAGAGGGUCCAGGCGGAGGCCGCGAUGCGCGCGCACGAGAUCUUCGCCCAGGACGCCAUGAUGCAGCAGACCUCGGCCCCGGCUCGUCGUACACGGGUGACCCGUCCGCCGGCGGUCAUGAAGAGAUGGCCAUGGACACCACGAUGA